AUGUCAUUAAUGGCCAUGGCUGCAGCAAAUGCUCUCCUGCUAGCUUCAAUGGCCAGAGAGAUGAUGCAGCCAGAUGAAGCAGGCCAGAAGAAGCAUCACCACAUCAGCGGAGCCACAGCCAAACAGAUGCUGGAACGUGAGGUGUAUCUGCAUGAGGAGUUGAUUCAUUUGCUGCAGGAGAUUGAGAAUAGCAUGAAUGCAGAGGAAGGCCGGCUCUUUUCUGGGUGGCUGUUUUGGACUGCUGUAGUUGCCCUGGUCCUGCUUGCUGUCGUCUGCUGGCUGGCGAGGCGAAGAAGGAAGCGUAAGAUGUCUCCUCAAUUGCUUAGAGUCUUCUGUCCUGAUCUCCCAGAAGGGAUUGCUGAGAUUCAAAUUGGAUUAAGUGUUUAUGAGAACAAUCGCACAAGGCGUAACAACUUGACUUUGGUGAAGGCUUAAGGUCUUAAGUUUGCCCAGGUUGUCUGGAUGGCAUCCCUUGCUUCCCUUUUGUCAACUGCUUCAUUCAGGUUUCAUAUAGGACUAAAGGAUUCAUAUUAAAAUUCGGGAAAGCAAGCACUGCUGUGUUGGUUUUGGCCGGUAUUCAACCCAACUCGCAUUGGUAACUUCUGCUGCAGUAGUUUUCCAUUGAGGCUGGGUAUUUUCCAGAAAGUGAGACAGAAAUGUUGACAUCUUCCAGGACGCCCCCUAGUCAUCAGCUGGUACAGCUGACUCAUCUUGUGCCUGCCUCUGUGCCUCUUCCUGUCGCCCCACCCCUGCAUCUCCCUGCACGUGUGUACGCUGCCGGCAUUGUCGGUGCUCCAGGGUGGCUCUGACCACUUGUGUGGCAUGUGCCAUGCAAGAAGCAAGAGCCAACCUGCUCCAUCCCUCCUCCCACCUAUAUCUCCAGAAACUUUGCCAGUCCCUCCUCUUCCAGGGUUUCUCACCUCUCUGCUUGUAAUUUGCCCCAUCAGGGUCCUCUCCACUCUCCAAAGCACACAACAGCCACAGCUCCCCUGCCUUUGCAAACUC
RNAcentral lists this long non-coding RNA (1005 nucleotides) under Parus major (Great Tit). RNAcentral's name for it is "lncRNA (ENSPMJG00000010684.1)". Lineage: Eukaryota; Metazoa; Chordata; Aves; Passeriformes; Paridae. The record is from RNAcentral.